GAAAAAUUAGUUAAAUUAUAAUGCAAGUUUGUCAAGCUUGAGUUGUCCUCAGGACAUUUUUCU
Molecule: transfer RNA, 63 nt
Filed under: Panulirus versicolor (painted spiny lobster)
Lineage: Eukaryota; Metazoa; Arthropoda; Malacostraca; Decapoda; Palinuridae
Description: tRNA-Asp
Source: RNAcentral